UACGUAGGGCGCAAGCGUUGUUCGGAUUUACUGGGCGUAAAGGGCGGGUAGGCGGCCACCGCAAGUCGACUGUGAAAUCUCCGGGCUUAACCCGGAAAGGUCAGCCGAUACUGCGGGGCUAGAGUGCAGAAGGGGCAACUGGAAUUCUCGGUGUAGCGGUGAAAUGCGUAGAUAUCGAGAGGAACACCUGAGGCGAAGGCGGGUUGCUAGGCUGACACUGACGCUGACAGCGCGAAAGCCAGGGGAGCAAACGGG
Molecule: ribosomal RNA, 255 nt
Filed under: uncultured bacterium
Lineage: Bacteria
Description: partial 16S ribosomal RNA
Rfam family: Bacterial small subunit ribosomal RNA
Source: RNAcentral